Molecule: small RNA, 76 nt
Filed under: Leeuwenhoekiella polynyae
Lineage: Bacteria; Pseudomonadati; Bacteroidota; Flavobacteriia; Flavobacteriales; Flavobacteriaceae
Description: Flavo-1 RNA
Rfam family: Flavo-1 RNA
Source: RNAcentral
CAUGCGCCAGCGAUUACAGCGGCAUCCUUUAGCGCCUUUUUUGGCGCUAAAGAUAUAGUGGAAAGCGCGGUUUUUC